This 2614-nucleotide long non-coding RNA is filed under the name Ananas comosus (pineapple). RNAcentral's name for it is "long non-coding RNA (ACOM_LNC033618)". The record is from RNAcentral. Lineage: Eukaryota; Viridiplantae; Streptophyta; Magnoliopsida; Poales; Bromeliaceae.
UCUGGAAGCACGGAGCCUUCCGUGCUUCCGGGUCGUUUUCGAUGUUGCGACUUUCAAAUCGUCAAUCAGCUCCAUUAAACUUGAUCUAGAGUAUUUGAAGUAUCUAGAAAAUAAAUUUUGCAAUUUUUCAAUAUAAUUUGCCUAGUGAUCGAAGGGACUCAAAAUCAAUAAUUUUAAUGGCUGUGGUGAGCCGUUUGCAAGUUUAACGGUGUAGAAAUAUCCAAAUCAUAUAAAAUUUUGAUAGAAAAUUCUUUAUACUGUAUAAAACAAGAUCAAUAUCUUUGAUCUCAAAUUUUAAUGUCAUAUUAUCACGUUUUGUAAGAUUUUUAUUUUCAGCCGUUGAUUUUGAACCCCUUAGUUCACUAGGCAAAUGAUAUCGAAAAAUUGCAAAAUUUAUUUUCUAGGUACUUCAAAUAUUCUAGAUCAAGUUUAACGGAGCCGAUCGACGAUUCGAAAGUCGCAAUAUCAAAAACUAGCUGGAAGCACGGAAGGCUCCGUGCUUCCAGAAGCAUUGUAGCCUCACUCUAUAUAUAUAUAUAUAUAUAUAUAUAUAUAUAUAUAUAGAGAGAGAGAGAGAGAGAGAGAGAGAGAGAGAGAGAGAGAGAGAGAGAGAGUUAGUGAGUGAGUUGAGCUGGAAUACUAUCGGUACCAAACGGACUCCGUUGCCACCAUUUGUUUUCGAUGAUGGAACCUUCAAAUCAACGAUCGGCACCGUUGAACAUGAUCUAUACCACUUGAAACAUCUAGGAACCAAAUUUCGCAAAGGCAUGUAUAUAGAGUUAGGUUGGUAUACUAUCGGUAGCACGGAGGCCUCCGUGCUACCAAAUUAUUUUCAAUGAUGCGGCUUCCAAAUCGACGAUCGGCUCCGCUAGACUUGAUCUACACUAUUAAAAGUAUUUGGAAACUAAAUUUCAUAAUUUUUCGACAUCAUUUGGCUUAUGAUCAAAAAGUUUCAAAAGUGAUAAUUUUAAUGAUAGAUGUGAUGCGUUUGUGAAUUUAACGGUGUAAAACAAUCCAAAUCUAAGAAACUUUUUAUAAAAAAUUCUUUUCACUAUUUAGAGGAAGAUCAGUACCUCUGAUCUUAAAUUCAAGUUUUUUAUUAUCAUUUUUUUAUGAGAUUUUUAUUUUUAGCCGUUCAUUUUUAGACUACUCGUUUGAUAGGUAAAUGAUAUCGAAAAAUUAUGAAAUUUAGUUUUCAAAUAAUUUUAUUAUUGUAGAUCAAGUUUAAUGGAGCGGAUCGUCGAUUUGGAACCCGCAUCAUUGAAAACAACUUGGUAGCAUGGAGGCCUCCGUACUACCGAUAGUAUANUCUCUCUCUCUCUCUCUCUCUCUCUCUCUCUCUAUAUAUAUAUAUAUAUAUAUAUAUAUAUAUAUUUGUAUAAAAUUUUAGAUAAUAUUUUAUAAAAAUUAAACUAUAGAUUGCAUCAUGAUAUUAAGAAUUUCACGCCACUCAUUUAGGACUCGAGUUCGUUCGACUCGAAAUUAGGCUUGUUCGAGCUCGGCUCGAAGUAAUUUCAAGUCAAGCUUGAGCCUAAAUUUAGAUUCGAAAUUAAUUUCAAGCCAAACUUAAACUGAGGUAAGCUCAUUCGAGCUCGGCUCGUUUUGACUCCUACAUGCAAUAGACAUGCCUUCGCGAUAAUUCGGACAAAAGUUUAAAAUCUUAUACCCAUAUAUGGUUUAACUAGUAAUUGCAUUAUGCCAAAUUAAGUUAAAAAAACCUCUUAUCAAAAUUAAAUGUGCUAUAGCUUACAACUUUAAUCCUAAUAAAUUUGCAGAGCACAAUUGGAGCACACCACCCUAAGUGAUGUAAAUAUUACAACAACUAUCAUUCAUUAGUGGCCCUGAUUUGUCUGUUGUUCAAGUACUAAAGAGAAAAUAAUAAUACACAAUAAAUAAAUGCAACUCUUACUCUCUCUUCUCUAAAAUGCAAAUCCUCUAUCAGCAUAUUGUAAGAUUUAUAUCAUCAUGUGUAAUGUAAAUAUAUGAAGUUUUUCAAAUUUAUACUUAUAUAUAUAUAUAUAUAUAUAUAUAUAUAUAUAUAUAGAUAGUGUGAAGCUACUACUAUCGGAUAAGCACGACCGUCCCUGUCUUCCAGCUCGUAUUUUGAUGUGCGACUUUCGAAUCAUCGAUGCGGCGUCUCGUUUAAACUGAUCGAGGAUAUUGAAGUACCUAGAAAAUAAAUUUUAUGAUUUUACGAUAUCAUUUGCCUAGUGAACGAAGGGGCUCAAAAUCAACGGCUGAAAAUAAAAAUAUUACAAAAUUUAAUAAUAUAACAUUAAAAUUUUAAAUUAAAGAUAUUGAUCUUGUUUUAUAUAGUAUAAAGAAUUUUUUAUCAAAAUUUCACAUGAUUUGGAUAUUUCUACACCGUUAAACUUGCAAACGGCUCACUACGGCCAUUGAAAUUUGUUGAUUUUGAGCCCAUUCGAUCACUAGGCAAAUAAUAUCGAAAAAUCAUAAAAAUUAUUUUCUAGAUACUCCAAAUACUCUAGAUAAAGUUUAACGGAGUUGAUCGACGAUUCGAAAGUCGCAACAUCGAAAACGAGCUGGAAACACGAAAAGCUCCGUACUUCUGAUAGCAUAAUAGCCUCACUCUCUCUCUCUCUAUAUAUAUAUA